RNAcentral lists this transfer RNA (77 nucleotides) under Puniceicoccales bacterium. RNAcentral describes it as "tRNA-His". It matches the Rfam family "tRNA". From Rfam's summary of the family: Transfer RNA (tRNA) molecules are approximately 80 nucleotides in length. Their secondary structure includes four short double-helical elements and three loops (D, anti-codon, and T loops). Lineage: Bacteria; Pseudomonadati; Verrucomicrobiota; Opitutia; Puniceicoccales. The record is from RNAcentral.
GUGGAUGUAGCUCAGUUGGUUAGAGCAUUGGUUUGUGGUACCAAGGGUCGCCGGUUCAAAUCCGGUCUUCCACCCCA